RNAcentral lists this transfer RNA (71 nucleotides) under Spinacia oleracea (spinach). It matches the Rfam family "tRNA". Rfam says of the family: Transfer RNA (tRNA) molecules are approximately 80 nucleotides in length. Their secondary structure includes four short double-helical elements and three loops (D, anti-codon, and T loops). Lineage: Eukaryota; Viridiplantae; Streptophyta; Magnoliopsida; Caryophyllales; Amaranthaceae. The record is from Rfam by way of RNAcentral.
AACCUAUUAGCUCAGAUGGGAGAGCAUUGUACAAAUGCACAAAGAUGUGGGUUCGAAUCCCAUGUGGGUUU